This 327-nucleotide ribosomal RNA is filed under the name uncultured bacterium. Its description in RNAcentral is "bacterial SSU rRNA". It matches the Rfam family "Bacterial small subunit ribosomal RNA", at positions 28 to 355 of the family's 1533-position model. The record is from RNAcentral.
GACGAACGCUGGCGGCGUGCUUAACACAUGCAAGUCGAGCGGUAAGGCCCUUUCGGGGGUACACGAGCGGCGAACGGGUGAGUAACACGUGGGUGACCUGCCCUUAGCUCUGGGAUAAGCCUGGGAAACUGGGUCUAAUACCGGAUAUGACUCCAUGACGCAUGUUGUGGGGUGGAAAGCCUUGUGCGGCUAGGGAUGGGCCUGCGGCCUAUCAGCUUGUUGGUGGGGGUGAUGGCCUACCAAGGCGACGACGGGUAGCCGGCCUGAGAGGGCGACCGGCCACACUGGGACUGAGACACGGCCCAGACUCCUACGGGAGGCAGCAGU